AAGCAUAUAAUUAACCGAAGGAAAAGAAACUAACUAGGAUUCCCUCAGUAAGGGCGACUGAACCGGGAAAAGAUCAUCUUGUGAAUCUGUACAGGCUUGUCUUGUGCCGAGUUGUGAUGUAAAGACGCAAAAUCAGUGGGGGUUCUGGACUAAGUCCCUUGGAAAAGGGCAGCAGAGAGGGUGAGACUCCCGUUCUUGUCUAGGACUUGCUACUAUGGUAUUUGUUGUCAACGAGUCGAGUUGCUUGGGAUUGCAGCUCAAAGUGGGAUGUAAAUUCAUUCUAAAUCUAAAUAUUGGUGGGAGACCGAUAGUGUACAAGUACCGUGAGGGAAAGAUGCAAAGAACUUUGAAAAGAGAGUUAAAGAGUACCUGAAAUUGCUGAAAGGGAAGCAAAGGAAACCAGUGCUUUGCCUACUAUUUUUCUCUUGCUGCUUGCAGCUAGGGCGCUGUGGUAGGUUUUAGGCCAGCAUGGGUUUGGCUUGGGACAAAUGGCUCUUCAGGAGGUAGGUCCUUCGGGACUGUUAGACUGUUGAGUUUUGUCUCUGGCUGGAUCGAGGCUAGUCACUUUGUGCAUGUGAUGCUGGCAAAAUGGUUUUCUUUACCCCGUCUUGAA
Molecule: ribosomal RNA, 613 nt
Filed under: Chaetoceros borealis
Lineage: Eukaryota; Bacillariophyta; Thalassiosirophyceae; Chaetocerotales; Chaetocerotaceae
Description: partial large subunit ribosomal RNA
Rfam family: Eukaryotic large subunit ribosomal RNA
Source: RNAcentral